Molecule: unclassified non-coding RNA, 306 nt
Filed under: plant metagenome
Description: partial contains 5.8S ribosomal RNA, internal transcribed spacer 2, and large subunit ribosomal RNA
Rfam family: 5.8S ribosomal RNA (bases 1-105)
Source: RNAcentral
GAAAUGCGAUAAGUAAUGUGAAUUGCAGAAUUCAGUGAAUCAUCGAAUCUUUGAACGCACAUUGCGCCCGCCAGUAUUCUGGCGGGCAUGCCUGUCCGAGCGUCAUUUCGACCAUCAAGCCCCCGGGCUUGUGUUGGGGACCUGCGGCUGCCCGCAGGCCCUGAAAACCAGUGGCGGGCUCGCUGUCACACCGAGCGUAGUAGCAAUCACCUCGCUCAGGGCGUGCUGCGGGUUCCGGCCGUUAAACAGCCUUACAAAACCCAAGGUUGACCUCGGAUCAGGUAGGAAGACCCGCUGAACUUAAGC